This is a long non-coding RNA of Cercocebus atys (sooty mangabey), 3377 nucleotides long. RefSeq lists it as uncharacterized. The record is from RefSeq and is a predicted model, not a curated record. NCBI's taxonomy places the organism in Eukaryota, Metazoa, Chordata, Mammalia, Primates, Cercopithecidae. The transcript has 2 exons.
ACUUGAGCGCCAGCAGCCUCUAGUUGGCAAGAUUAGACACCUUAAGCAGUCCUGCUCUCUCCUGACAAGCUGCAGCUGGCUACUGACCAGUGGACAUGGCCCUGGAGCACCUUGGGGGUCACUCAGUGAAGAAGCUGUGCCAGGAGACUGGGAAUAUCUUCCAAAUCCUUAAGCAAACAGUGCUGAAAACAAACUGCUGAAAGAAAUACAAGCAUAUGACUUUAAAAUGAUGCCUCUGGAAAUAAGGGACAUACAGCAGCUGCCAGAUGUUCAUGAUCCCACCUCCCCUACUUAACAAAGGCACCUAUAUUUCACCAGAAAUAAAAUUUUAUUAGUAACAUGUCAAAUGUUUUAAAAUACAAUUACCUUUCUUCUUCCUCUCAGUUUAAAAAACAAUCCAAUAAAAACUCUAAAUCAUGACCCAAAUAUUUUUAAAUGUGAAAAAGACAUAUUUUAGAUUAUGUAACAGAUACACAUUUUCCCAAAUAAAUGUUGUAGAACACCAUCUGCUUGAUAUUUGAGUGCAUUCCCACAGAAAUAAAUUCCUGCUUCUCUUCCUUCAUUAAUGGUUUAUGACAAAUUUAUGACACUAUAUUUCACAAUAGUUAUACCAAAAUUUUAUGACCAAAAGAGCCUGACAAAAAUCACUUGGCAUGCUCAAAUUAGACAAUUUAUGUGACUCUCUCAUUUACACCAAUCCUCCACCCCGUACUGAGACCCCAGCGACUGAGGAGAAAUAGAAAAAGUACAACAGGGGAAGGAUCUCUCACAGAAUAAAGCUCAAAAAAGAGCUCAAGACAAGAAGUUACAGAUCCAGGUGCCAUUUUCAGCUCAGGUUUUCCAUAAUCUUCAGCUUAUGCAGCUACCCAAAAUUCUGAAUUUAAUGUAGGAUGUUUUUGUAAGGUUGUCUCAGAUUUUGCCAAGCAAGAAAUUGCUAAAUUCUUGUUAAAUGUGAACAGGAUUUCAUCUUUGUUACCAAAUGGAGCUCCCUUAUGUGAAUAUAAUGAAGAGGAAAAUCAAGAAGAGAAAUUUGCAUGUGUCAUCUCCUGACUGAUAAGAAUGGUACAUGACUCUACCCAUGUUCCUUUCCUGCACUUGAUAUAGAGAAAACUUGUAAGAGGAAUAAUCUUUGCAUUUUGCUCUGCAAAGUAUUAUAGUAUUUGUGGCAAAUUUAGAAAACUAGUGUUAUGGUUUUCUGAUUUUACUUCAUGCAUUUUAUUUCUUAAAAGAAAAAAAAUCCCGCAGAACACAGACAUGAACACAGAGUCUUUGAAAGUUUAAGAGUAUAGGCUUCAGUCUGCAUAUUUCUCCAAUGAUGUAGACUCUCCCAACUCAAAGUGUGGUGGAUGGAUUGGCAGCAUCCACAUCACCUGGGACAUUCGAGAGAUGAAGACCUUCAUUCCUCACCCCAAACCUACUAAAAGGAUCCCUAGUGACUUGUAAGCUCAACAAGCACUAAUGUAAUGUUUUUAAUCCACCCAACCCUAAAGGAUAAUCCUUGAGAAAGACAAAACUACUUUAAUGGGGAAAUUUUGUCCAUAACGUUCAAUCAGGAAUGUAACAACUUUUAGACAUGGCCCACUUAAUAAAGAAACAAAAAACCUGAAAUUUGUCUUGUGGCUGCUGUAUAGUAAUGAAGUUUGAGAAUGAGAACAUAUAAGUUAAAAGUGAGCUGAGAUCCGGCCACUGCACUCCCGCCUGGGCGACAGAGCGAGACUCCGUCUCAAAAAAAAAAAGUCGUAUGUUACAUAAAUAUUCAGGACCUGAUUAAUUAUACACAACCUUCCAUUGUUUCCAACCUAAGUAGUUUCUUUUGUGAGACAUAUACAACUGUUAACUAUUACACUGAAUUCUAGAAACAUGAAGAUUGCCUUAGUAAACAAUUAUUUAAUGACUAAGUGCAAUAGUUUCAAAAAGAAUUUUGUUCAGCCAGUAAUGACCAUGUUACUAUGAUGAAUUCUUACUUGAUACACUCCAGAAACUUUCCCAAAGGAGUUCAGCCAGUACUGCAAAUUGUUACUUUCCUCUUAAGUGUCAAUGAUAGGGAGCAAGCUGGGGGCGAAGAAUAGAACUAUAACUUCCACUUACAAUGGACUAUAAAGACUGGGGUCAGGAUGUGAUUUAAAGAGGAAACCACAGGGAGAGAAGGAAGGUGGCUCCAGUACCUGGUGUUAAGAAAUACUGAAGUUCAUUCAAGCAAUUCACCAGCACAAGGCAAAUUAAAGAAGGCUGCCCCUCUGACCUUGCACACAAUAUACACAACUUUCAGGCUGUGAUUUAUUGAUUCUCUUUCUCCUUUAAGGCUCUCCUUAACAUUAAUAUUAAUCUGACUUGUCCCAUAAAAGAAUAUGGAAGCCAGAGGUAAGGGGAAAAGGAAUUGUUCCCUACCUGAUUGGUCUCCCUACCACACCCACGAGAUAUGCCCCAGGGAUGGGCUGAGGUCAGCCAUACUUCCCUUAGGCAAUAGUGGCUUUUUGCCAACAGUAAAUAUGCUGUAAAGCAAAAUGUAUCCUCUCCUUUCCUUCUAAGAUCUGGGUCAGGAAAACUUUCCUUCACCUUGUGCAUCUUCUCACCUGCAAACACUUUUUGAAAGACACGUUUGAUAGCCAUCCCAGUUUGGAAAAGGGAAAUGCAGGUACUGCAUUUGGAUUUGGUAAAACAAAACCAAAUAAUCUGAUUUCUGGGACUGUGCAUUAUUCACUUAUGUAUCCCCAGCCCUAGCACAGUGCCUGGCUCAUAACAGCUGCUCAAUAAAUGGUAGUAAAUUGCACUUAUUUUCAAGUCUUCUAGCACUGAGUUUGUUAAAUCUUGGGUGUUACAUUGAAACCAGAUAAUGCAUUGGAACUUAUCCAUUUUCCAUUUAUACACAGGCUUAUCCUUUAGCCUUUCCCUAACCUUAAUUAUUUUCUAUUUUUCCUUCGCUUAUCCACCCAAAGAGCUCAGUUUCAGGGAUAUUUUACAGUGUUCACACUUUGCAAAUAGUAGAUACGCUGAAAAGAAUCUAGUCUUACUCAUCACAGUGAAUGAAAGAAAGGAGCAAUACAUUGCAGAGAUCAGGUGUUCUGUGUACAGCAGACAUGGGAAAGCAAAAUUGAGUAUAGCAAGCAAGAACACCCCCCCACACAACAAAGCAACUUUUUCUUUCACUUGCUAAUCCUACUCUUUACUUCUCUGGCCCUGCCCUCUUUUUCCUCUUUUCUUCAUUUUUCCUCUUCUACUUUUCUAUUUUCUUCUUCACUUGGCCUUGAGGCUAGUUGGACACCCACAAGAAAGAUAACAUUACCAAAGGCUCUCCAUUUUCUAUCUCACCUUCCUUAUCAUAAAGAUGGCUCUUGCCACCAGAGAAAGGAUGUCCAGGUUUAAAAAAAAAAAAAAAA